This 468-nucleotide ribosomal RNA is filed under the name uncultured bacterium. RNAcentral's name for it is "partial 16S ribosomal RNA". It matches the Rfam family "Bacterial small subunit ribosomal RNA", at positions 28 to 507 of the family's 1533-position model. The record is from RNAcentral.
GACGAACGCUGGCGGCGUGCUUAACACAUGCAAGUCGAACGGAAAGGCCCUGCUUUUGUGGGGUGCUCGAGUGGCGAACGGGUGAGUAACACGUGAGUAACCUGCCCUUGACUUUGGGAUAACUUCAGGAAACUGGGGCUCAUACCGGCUAGGAGCUCCUGCUGCAUGGUGGGGGCUGGUAAGUUUCGGCGGUUGGGGAUGGACUCGCGGCCUAUCAGCAUGUUGGUGGGGUAGUGGAUUACCAAGGCUUGGAGGGGUAGCCGGCCUGAGAGGAGAAGAGGCCAAGCUGGGAUUGGAAUGAGACCCGGCCUCGAACGGGAGGCAGGGGAGGAGAAGAGAGCACAAUGGGCGGGAGGCAAGUGCAGCAAAGCCGCGUGGGGGAUGACGGCAUUCGGGUUGGAAACCGAUGUCGCCUGUGACGAAGCGUGAGUGACGGUAAUGGGUAAAGAAGCACCGGCUAACUACGUG